AGCAGCCGCGGUAAUUCCAGCUCCAAUAGCGUAUAUUAAAGUUGUUGCAGUUAAAAAGCUCGUAGUUGAAUUUCGGGAUCAAUGUUUCGGUCAUGCCCUUGGUAUGUACUGAUAUUAUUGGUUUCUCACCUUCUAAAGAACCGUAAUGCCAUUAAUUUGGUGUCACGGGGAAUUAGGACUGUUACCUUGAAAAAAUUACAGUGUUUAAAGCAGGCUCACGCUUGAAUACAUUAGCAUGGAAUAAUGAAAUAGGACAUCCGAUUCUAUUUUGUUGGUUUCUAGGAUCGAUGUAAUGAUUAAUAGGGAUAGUUGGGGGCAUUAGUAUUCAAUUGUCAGAGGUGAAAUUCUUGGAUUUAUUGAAGACUAACUACUGCGAAAGCAUUUGCCAAGGAUGUUUUCAUUAAUCAAGAACGAAAGUUAGGGGAUCGAAGACGAUCAGAUACCGUCGUAGUCUUAACCAUAAACUAUGCCGACUAGGGAUCGGAUGAUGUUAAUUUCUUAAUGACUCA
This 509-nucleotide ribosomal RNA is filed under the name uncultured glomeraceous AM fungus. Its description in RNAcentral is "SSU rRNA". It matches the Rfam family "Eukaryotic small subunit ribosomal RNA", at positions 569 to 1078 of the family's 1831-position model. Lineage: Eukaryota; Fungi; Glomeromycota; Glomeromycetes; Glomerales; Glomeraceae. The record is from RNAcentral.